Peromyscus maniculatus bairdii (prairie deer mouse) is the source of this 2285-nucleotide non-coding RNA. The record is from RefSeq and is a predicted model, not a curated record. NCBI's taxonomy places the organism in Eukaryota, Metazoa, Chordata, Mammalia, Rodentia, Cricetidae.
UCUCGCAGCAGAACGCCUGGAUGAGGGUGAAAUGGAUCUGCAGAGCCACGUCCCUGUCGUCGUCCUCGUCCGCAGCCAGCAGGCACAGCACCACGUUGUCGGGGUCACUGCGGACAGCACGGGCAGCGGUAUAUUGAUCCGCAAUGGAUUGGGAUGAAGCAACAGCUGCCUUGCCACGGACAGUUUGAGAAGCAAUGAACUGGCCAGCCACCGUAGACCUGGGCAUCACUGGGCAGAGGUGAACUCCACACCUGCUCCUUGCUGUCCUCGGUCACACCACACUUAUUCCCACCACCCAGCUUUAGUUCUGAUAAUCUGUCUUCCUCAGUACCCAUGAGGCUUGCAUUUUACCAUCCCUUCUCAGCCUCAGUUGCUGGCUAGCCGCUGACUCUUCAUUCGCCAUCCUGUGCUGCCCAACACAAGUAGCCACCAGCCACUUGUGCCUACCGUACACUUGACAUACAGCAAGCCUAAUGAGGAGGCAAGGCAAGUGUCAAUUCAAUGGGCUUCAAGGACUUAAUCAGAAGAUGAUUUAAAGGAGCUCCUUGAUAAUUUAAUGGUUAUUCUGUGCUGAAAUGAUGCCCUGGGUAUACUGUAUUCGUUUAAAUAAGAUAGAUCUAUAAAAUUAAGUAUAACUGAUUCUCUGUACUCUUUUAAGUGGGACCGACAGGAAGUUAUGUAUGGAGUCUUCAUUCCAUGUAUUUUGAUUUGAGGGGAGCUGGCGGCAGGAAGAGUUUCAGAUAUGAUUUCACUAUGUAGCACAGACUGGUUCCAAACCUGCAAUUCUCCUGCCUUAGCUUCCUGAGUGCUUUGAUUACAGGUGUGAACCGCUAUGCUAGGCUCAUUAUCUGCUAGUUGUUGAUAGAGCUUGAUUUUUUUUUUUUAAAUUUAUUUAUUUAUUAUGUAUACAGUGUUCUGCCUGCAUGUGUCCCUGCAGGCCAGAAGAGGGCGCCAGAUCUCAUUACAGAUGGUUGUGAGCCACCAUGUGAUUGCUGGGAAUUGAACUCAGGACCUCUGGAAGAGCAGCCACUGCUCUUAGCCUCUGAGCCAUCUCUCCAGCCCGAUAGAGCUUGAUUUUUUCCCAUAGUUAUUCCCACCACCAGACAUUAGGUGAUCUGUUUAUGGUGAGUUUAUCACCAGCUUUGCCCGCUGAGUGUGUGUCCCAGGAUGUCAGGGACUGCAUUUCUAGAACAGUGCAGCCAUAAUGUACACAGAUAUCUUCCAGAAACAUUGUGUGGGAGGAGGUUGCCAUUCCUGGACAGAAUCUGCAGGGUUAGGGACUCUUUCUUCCCCUUUCGUCUUUGUAUUUAUACAGUUCUGCACGGGUGACAUCUGUUUUAAAAUGGUCUGUGCAUAAAGUACAAUGCCUGGGGCUGAUGAGAUGGCUCAGCAGGUAACCGCACUUGCUGCCAAGCCUGACAAUCCAAGUUCGAGCCCUGGGACCCACAGUGAAUGGAGAGAACUGACCGCUGUCCUCUGACCUCCAUAUAUGUUCUCCCUCAACAAAAAAGUUAAACAAGCAUAAUAAAAAAGUGUAUGUGUGUGUGUAUGUGCAUGUGUAUGUAUGUAUGUAUGUGUGUGUGUAUGUAUGUGUAUGUAUGUGUAUAUGUGUGUAUGCAUGUAUGUGUAUGUGUGUAUGUAUGUGUGUGUAUGUGUAUGUGUGUGUGUGUGUGUGUGUGUGUGUGUAUGUGUGUGUAAGCUUGAUGCCUGUUUGUUUGUAUAUUCACUUUAAUCUCCCCCCUCAAGGCAUUUAGGCAUGAAUCAAAAUGCCCUACUCACAAAUCCACACUCUGGAGGAGGUUGCUUGUGCUUUUAAAAUACAUAAAUCUAUACCAGGUGUUUGCUAAUUGACACCAAGAGACUGGAAAGUCAUUAGCUAUGUUGAGCAAAAAGCCAGAGUGCAAGGUAGCUUGGCCAGAAAGAUUACAUGGCUCAGCUCCUGCACCAGGUCAGAGGCUCCGAAAAUCAGGUUGCAUAGUGCCUUGGUGCAUCCUGGAGGCUCAAGCCCCAACCUCCAGGAGCCUCUGUCUUCAUGCAGGAAUCUGAAAACACGAAGCUUUACCUUGCUGGACUCCCCUGCAAGGGUUUUUUUUGGGGGAGCAAUGUUCACAGGAUUUCUUCUUUGUAUCCCCACACUCAAAAUACUAACAGAGGGUUUAUGCCUUGCUGAAGAAAUGCCAGUCAGGCAGACUUUAUACAUGACCUACUUUUCUAACAGGAUGCCACCAGGUGAGGAGUUGUGUAUGCUGUGGAAGGAAUAAAACUCAUUUGGUUUUGUGCCUAAA